Small nuclear RNA from Cercocebus atys (sooty mangabey), 107 nucleotides. The record is from Ensembl. Lineage: Eukaryota; Metazoa; Chordata; Mammalia; Primates; Cercopithecidae.
GUGCUCGCUUUGGCAGCACAUAUACUAAAAUUGGAACGAUACAGAGAAGAUUAGCAUGGCCCCUGCACAAGAAUGACAUGCAAAUUCAUGAAGCAUUCCAUAUUUUU